This 1653-nucleotide long non-coding RNA is filed under the name Pollicipes pollicipes. Its description in RNAcentral is "uncharacterized LOC119097615". Lineage: Eukaryota; Metazoa; Arthropoda; Thecostraca; Pollicipedomorpha; Pollicipedidae. The record is from RNAcentral.
GCUAUCAGACAGAUUAUGUAAGUACCAGAUCAGUUACCUUGCCUGGUGCCGUUCGUUCAAGGCCAUCCCUAUUCCCACGAACCGACUUCCGCGUUAUCGUGACCGGUACGGGAAGGAAGUGCGAUUAAGAAAUAGCGAUCCGUGGAGUGAGGAACCGGUUGACAAACUCUAGAACCAUGCGACGGAGGAAAUUCUUUUUUACUCGUGUACAGAAGAGGAAACGCAAUUAUCAGCCGCGCGCUUGGCACCCUGCAUGAGAGGCGGUGGAACAAGGUUGAAAAACUGCCAAAAAAUGACGAUGCACUGCGCCUGCAACUGGAAAUAGACGGUGCCAUGGAGAAAGUGAGGGAUAGCUUGCAAGAAACAACCAGUCUGGUCAACUGCGACAAGCUGGCUCAAGCUGCGCUCACUUCGCUGAUCUUGUUUAAUCGGCGGAGGUCUGGUGAAACAGAACGACUGACGGUGGAUGAUUAUCGGGCGAAAACCUACGAAGUUAAUAAGGAUAUUACUGAUGAUUUGUCUGUGCUCGAACGCGAACUAUGUACAACCCUAGGUCACGUAAAGAUACGCAGAAAGCGAGGAAGAGAGGUCCCAAUGCUCCUGAAAGGCAGGAUAACCGAGGUCCCUGACCUUCUGGUUGCCUCCAGAGAGGCUUCUGGCAUUCAUGAAAGCAGUCCGUACGUUUUCACUGGUGAUGCAGCCAAGGACGCCCGGCCACUGAGUGGGAGCAAGUGUAUUUCUCAGUUUGCUGAGCGUGCAGAAGUUGUGAAUGUGACAGCUACAUCUAUGCGAAAGCAUAUCGCAACAAUGAUACAACUUUUGCAUUUGAGCGAAACGGAACUGGACGUUGUCGCGAGGUUCAUGGGACAUGACACCAGGGCUCAUCGGGAAUAUUACCGCUUGCCCGAGCGGACGGUGUAUGGCGCUUAAGUCAGCGAGCUGCUCCUGGCAAUGAAGAAGCCUGGCAGUGCAUACGUUGGUAAGGCGUUGGAAAAACUCGACCCCUGCACAAGUGAUGAAGACAAGAGCGUGGUUGAAGACCUAGGUGAGAGCUACGACAAUGAGGCGAAAGGACCAAAACGACAAAUGGAAGAAAGUGAAGAGGAAAAAGGAAAACGUAAGCGGCAGAAGACAGAAUGUGAUGUGAUGCCUGAAAGUGGUGGACGUGAUGAUCAGGGCUCACCUUCCACUAGACAUUCCACUAACCGCCUUCCUGUCCCCGAGAGAAAGAUACGAAAGAUCUCAUGGACCGUUCGUGAAAUGCAAGCAAUUGAAAGUCAGAUGUCCAGGUCUAUGAGCGACUUGACCUGUCCCGGUAUGGCCGAUUGCAUCGCCGCUUUGCACGCCGAGCCAGAUUUGUGUCGUCGCUCCUGGACCGACGUGAAGUACUGUACAUAUAACCUCGUCGUAAAACAUAGGCGUAGCCUGAAUCUGUGAGACUAGUUUCACCAUGCUGCAGUAAUAUGCAAACAGUCAAGGGCAGCCACCCGUUGAGGCCGUUCUUUGACCUGUGCUCAAGGUUUUACCAGCUGCAUUGUUCAGAUCAGACUAGACCAACUUAAGCGUUGGUGGCAUGUGGAAAAGUUCUUGACAUAAGCUGUCUUGUGUUGGUGAACUCGAGAGCCGCUACGUAAUAUACCAGUAUAUUACCAG